RNAcentral lists this ribosomal RNA (497 nucleotides) under uncultured bacterium. RNAcentral describes it as "partial 16S ribosomal RNA". It matches the Rfam family "Bacterial small subunit ribosomal RNA", at positions 28 to 507 of the family's 1533-position model. The record is from RNAcentral.
GAUGAACGCUGGCGGCGUGCCUAAUACAUGCAAGUCGAGCGAACAGACGAGGAGCUUGCUCCUUCGACGUUAGCGGCGGACGGGUGAGUAACACGUAGGUAACCUACCUAUAAGACUGGGAUAACUUCGGGAAACCGGAGCUAAUACCGGAUAAUAUUUCGAACCGCAUGGUUCGAUAGUGAAAGAUGGCUUUGCUAUCACUUAUAGAUGGACCUGCGCCGUAUUAGCUAGUUGGUAAGGUAACGGCUUACCAAGACAACGAUACGUAGCCGACCUGAGAGGGUGAUCGGCCACACUGGAACUGAGACACGGUCCAGACUCCUACGGGAGGCAGCAGUAGGGAAUCUUCCGCAAUGGGCGAAAGCCUGACGGAGCAACGCCGCGUGAGUGAUGAAGGUCUUCGGAUCGUAAAACUCUGUUAUUAGGGAAGAACAAACGUGUAAGUAACUGUGCACGUCUUGACGGUACCUAAUCAGAAAGCCACGGCUAACUACGUG